GCAGUGGCAAAAAGCAUGAUAUGGAUAGUGAUGGUGGAGAAAUGGCAGGAGCAGUGGAAUAGAGAUACUAAGGGCAGGAAUUUAUUUCAAGUACAGAGGAAAGUUGGGGAGGGGAGAACAGCAGGAAGGGACAGAAGACAGGAGACUAUGUUUACAAGAUUAAGAGUGGGACACAGCCAGUUGAAUAAGACUUUACAUGUGAUAGGAAAGCAUCCAACAGGAAAAUCCUGCAGGUACGUGGUGCGGCGCAUCCGGGCUGCAGUGAGAAGGGGAGAGCAGCCAGAGAAGCCCACCGCAGCAUGUAGCCAGGCCAAGGCAUGGAAGGAGGAGGGUAUGCAGAAGAAUGGACAGGUGGAGCCGAUGUUCAAACCCCUGGUAACGGAGCCGGAACCAGGCCUGAAGGUGGCAGAGUGGGCCUCUGGUGAAUGACGUUAGAGAGGGCUGGAUAGAAAACAGGAGAGAGUGUGGAGGAAGGGAUGAGAGGAACAACUGUGUAAAAGAUGCACUGACUCAGUUGCAUUAUUAUCUGUAUCCUGUAAGACUAUAGCAGCAACCUCAUAUGUUGUCCUAUCACAUGCUAUGGAGAGACGCCCACUGCAUUAACUAAUCCUUGCUAAUGCCAUGUCAGUAUGAGGAGUUACAUGUACUGCAUGUUUUCUCUGGCUCAGUAUGAAAUUGUAUGACACUGACCUUGCACAUACAGAUGCAUUCACCUGCUAAUACAACGGAUCACAUUUACUGUGGAAAAAUUCACACAUUAGGUGCACACACACACACACACACACACACACACACACACACACACACACACACACACACACACACACACACACACACACACACACACGCACACACACACUCUCCCCCUCCCACUCCACUCCUGUGGCCAGGUCUCUGUCCUUUGGGGUAGUCGAAGGUCAGAGUGAAAGAGUAACAAGCAGUAGCAGGCAACGAAGAGAAUGAUUGCCUGGACAUCAAUUCCCCACCUGAGGAAAUGCCCAGGCAGGAAGACAAAAACAAACCUUCUGCUGUUAAUAAAGAUACUGCCUCUAUUUCUUCACUGUAUUCUGGGAGAUGUGUAUUUUCAGUAAACAAAGUACUCUUGCCCCCAGUGUGUUUCUGGGUUUCAUCAAUCAUUCUUUAAACAUUGAGCAGCAAAGAGCACACACAGCACAUGGCUUCUAUAAUACAUAUCAGGAUUAUUGUUUAAUAAUGUGUUGAAGUAAAAAAAAAUAAUCACUCUCACACACUCACAUAGUAUACACACUCACACUCACUCUAUCUCCCUCCCUCCCUCUGUC
This 1301-nucleotide long non-coding RNA is filed under the name Salmo salar (Atlantic salmon). RNAcentral's name for it is "lncRNA (ENSSSAG00000087764.1)". The record is from RNAcentral. Lineage: Eukaryota; Metazoa; Chordata; Actinopteri; Salmoniformes; Salmonidae.